GUGCCAGCCGCCGCGGUAAGACAGAGGUGGCAAGCGUUGUUCGGAUUUAUUGGGUGUAAAGGGUCCGUAGGCGGUCAGACAAGUCUGAUGUGAAAUCCCAUGGCUCAACCGUGGAACGGCAUUGGAAACUGUUUGACUUGAGUACCGUAGAGGUAAAGGGAAUUCCCGGUGUAAGGGUGAAAUCUGUAGAUAUCGGGAGGAACACCAGUGGCGAAAGCGCUUUACUGGCCGGUUACUGACGCUGAGGGACGAAAGCAAGGGGAGCAAACAGGAUUAGAUACCCUCGUAGUCC
RNAcentral lists this ribosomal RNA (292 nucleotides) under uncultured bacterium. RNAcentral describes it as "partial 16S ribosomal RNA". It matches the Rfam family "Bacterial small subunit ribosomal RNA", at positions 505 to 796 of the family's 1533-position model. The record is from RNAcentral.